Molecule: ribosomal RNA, 253 nt
Filed under: uncultured bacterium
Lineage: Bacteria
Description: partial 16S ribosomal RNA
Rfam family: Bacterial small subunit ribosomal RNA
Source: RNAcentral
UACGGAGGGUGCAAGCGUUAAUCGGAAUUACUGGGCGUAAAGCGUGCGUAGGCGGCCCGUUAAGUCAGAUGUGAAAGCCCCGGGCUCAACCUGGGAACGGCAUUUGAAACUGGCGGGCUAGAGUUUGGUAGAGGGGAGUGGAAUUUCAGGUGUAGCGGUGAAAUGCGUAGAUAUCUGAAGGAACACCAGUGGCGAAGGCGACUCCCUGGACUCGAACUGACGCUGAGGUACGAAAGCGUGGGUAGCAAACAGG